RNAcentral lists this ribosomal RNA (426 nucleotides) under uncultured bacterium. Its description in RNAcentral is "partial 16S ribosomal RNA". It matches the Rfam family "Bacterial small subunit ribosomal RNA", at positions 354 to 796 of the family's 1533-position model. The record is from RNAcentral.
GUGAGGAAUAUUCCGCAAUGGGGGAAACCCUGACGGAGCAAUGCCGCGUGCAGGAUGAAGGCCCUCGGGUCGUAAACUGCUUUUAUAUGAGAAGAAUAUGACGGUAACAUAUGAAUAAGGGACGGCUAACUACGUGCCAGCAGCCGCGGUCAUACGUAGGUCCCAAGCGUUAUCCGGAGUGACUGGGCGUAAAGAGUUGCGUAGGCGGCUCGUUAAGCGUGAAAUGAAAUUUAUCGGCUCAACCGGUAAACUAUUUCGCGAACUGACGGGCUCGAAAGUAUGAGAGGUUACUGGAAUUUCUAGUGUAGCAGUGAAAUGCGAAGAUAAUAGAAAGAACACCAACGGCGUAGGCAGGUAACUGGCAUACAUCUGACGCUGAGGCACGAAAGCGUGGGGAGCGAACCGGAUUAGAAACCCCGGUAGUCC